RNAcentral lists this long non-coding RNA (1245 nucleotides) under Homo sapiens (human). Its description in RNAcentral is "HSALNT0318551". The record is from RNAcentral. Lineage: Eukaryota; Metazoa; Chordata; Mammalia; Primates; Hominidae.
ACGAUUCCAGCUCGCGCCUCUCCCUCCACACCUGCAUGCAAGCUGAGGGAGCUGGCUCCGGCCUUGGCCAGCCCAGAAAGGGGCUCCCACAGUGCAGCGGUGGGCUGAAGGCCUCCUCAAGUGCCGCCAAAGUGGGAGCCCAGGCAGAGGAGGCGCCGAGAGAGAGCGAGGGCUGUGAGGACUGCCAGCAGGCUGUCACCUCUCACUUCUGGGCUACAAACAUGGACAGCAUGUACUGAGGACUGGAGGCAACUGUAAUGCAACGAUUUUUCAUGCCAAAUGAUGUGGGAUCUGGAAAGAUGGGCGAAUAGGAAUAGCUCUGGUCUACAGCUCCCAGCAAAACCAACACAGAAGGUGGGUUAUUUCUGCAUUUCCAACUAAGUUACUGCUGAAAGCAUCCUGAGUGACACAAACUUGAAGCAUGCAAGAGGACUAAAUAACUUCCAAAGUCACACAUAUUGCAUGUCAAGAGCCAGCUUCAAACUCAAGUCCCUGUGACCAGAGGUCGAUGCUCUAAACACAUUUCUGCAUGACCUGCUUGUGGCAGCCUGGAGAAAUUCUACAUAAAUCUUCUCAGAUUCCAGAGGCUGCGAGGUCUGAGAUCAAGGAUCUGACACCUGGUGAGGGCCUUUUUGCUGCAUCAUUUCACAUAGAGACAAAAAGAUUCUCACCUGUAAGCUUGAAUUAUGUCUACAUCAUGCUUGGGAAAUGUCCAUAUAUUCUAAGCUUGAAACUGCAGUGAUGAGGACGUCACCACUUCCAGAGAGAACACUUUACUACCAGGCAACUUGAGUACAAUAGGCAGCCACAAAUAUCAUCCUUGCUAGCCAGGAAUGACAAGGAGCAAGCCACAUGAGGAGUCAGAAAAGAUUAUUCCAGGCAGGGCUGAGAUCUGCAUUAUGGUCUGGAGGCUGCCCCAGUCUCUCCUUUACCUCCAUAUUUUUCUCACAGUUCUGGAGACUUUAAGACCAAGAUCAAGAUGCUGGCAAGGACUUUUCUUCAUCAUGUGAAGAAGCCAACACAGACAUCAACUCUUGCAGAAAUAUUUACAUUCCAGGAUGGGUGGAAUAUUCAUCCUCUAAGACACUCUCCUUACUGCUCAUUUCACUUCUGGACGAACCACAUUGGUCUCUGAAAGGAGAAUGGACCUGGAGAACAAGACAGGAAGACAAUAUCAGGUAGGAGGCUCUGGGAUCAGUUAAGACAACUGGCCAUGAAGACUUCAAUGAAGGGGGCAGUAGUGGG